CAACCCCCAUUCCUUCCACCCCAGAAUCUCUCCUGGCCUGCAGGCACACAAAGAACCAAAGGCGUGGCUACAGCCAGGCUCCUUCGGGUUGCUGAGUCAGCACAAUACGGCCUACUGUCUCCUCAGACCACAGGAUACCUGCUCCACUUCCGAGAAGAGAUGAGACCUCUCAUACCUGUGAUGAGAAGACAUGGACAGUGUCCCUUCGUGGGACUGACCUGACCAUGGAGAGACUGUGUGGACAGGGUUUCAGGCUGGAGAGCUGGCUCAGCAGUUACGAGCACUCGGCUGCCCUUCCUGAGGUCCCAAGCGUAAUUCCCAACAACCACAUGGCUCACAACUAUCUGUGUGGAAUCUGAUUCCCUCUCCUGCUGUGUGUGAAGA
Myodes glareolus (Bank vole) is the source of this 384-nucleotide non-coding RNA. The record is from RefSeq and is a predicted model, not a curated record. NCBI's taxonomy places the organism in Eukaryota, Metazoa, Chordata, Mammalia, Rodentia, Cricetidae.